GGACGAACGCUGGCGGCGUGCUUAACACAUGCAAGUCGAACGGAAAGGCCCUGCUUUUGUGGGGUGCUCGAGUGGCGAACGGGUGAGUAACACGUGAGUAACCUGCCCUUGACUUUGGGAUAACUUCAGGAAACUGGGGCUAAUACCGGAUAGGAGCUCCUGCUGCAUGGUGGGGUUUGGAAAGUUUCGGCGGUUGGGGAUGGACUCGCGGCUUAUCAGCUUGUUGGUGGGGUAGUGGCUUACCAAGGCUUUGACGGGUAGCCGGCCUGAGAGGGUGACCGGCCACAUUGGGACUGAGAUACGGCCCAGACGCCUACGGGAGGCAGCAGUGGGGAAUAUUGCACAAUGGGCGGAAGCCUGAUGCAGCAACGCCGCGUGCGGGAUGACGGCCUUCGGGUUGUAAACCGCUUUCGCCUGUGACGAAGCGUGAGUGACGGUAAUGGGUAAAGAAGCACCGGCUAACUACGUG
Molecule: ribosomal RNA, 469 nt
Filed under: uncultured bacterium
Lineage: Bacteria
Description: partial 16S ribosomal RNA
Rfam family: Bacterial small subunit ribosomal RNA
Source: RNAcentral